Molecule: long non-coding RNA, 473 nt
Filed under: Coccomyxa subellipsoidea
Lineage: Eukaryota; Viridiplantae; Chlorophyta; Trebouxiophyceae; Coccomyxaceae
Description: long non-coding RNA (CSUB_LNC000788)
Source: RNAcentral
UGACGUCAAGAUAAUGAGACGAUCUUUGCUCAGCUGGGAGGCAGUGCUCUUAUCCUGUUUCUGCUGACAUACUGUUGGGCAGACUCCAAGCCCUACAGAUUUGCAAUUUCUGUGAAGGUGGAGAUCUUUGGUCAGCACCAAUACAGGAUGUCGAGCUCUAUUCUGGCAACAGGGAUUGAGAUUGCGACCUUGUACACAAGGUUGCUGCUCUUGCACAGCCACUAUGAGCUACUCACUAGCUUAUGCAGGAUGAGGAUCCUAACUUGAUCGCGGCACUGGAAACGCUCACCUCGUGAACAGUUGUCUCUGACUGUAUGCGAAUGUCGCUGACUUCCUUUCAUUUGUCUCAAACGCCAUGGACUACAUAAUUGCGAUCGCUUUCGCAGGACAAGCUUAGUGCAGGAGCAAGGCUCCUGGCUCAGAGUGCGACCUAUGACUCUGGAAUGAAAACAAGACUGCAUUCCCGAGCAUAC